GGAUCUCUGGAGGCUGUUUGCAACUGUGGUCACAAAAUUCAAUGUUCUGGGAGAAUUGGAAGCAGCUCAAUUUUUUUGGGGCCCCUUACACAGCUCAAGGUCUGGGCCCCAGGGCCUGACGGUGAGUAUGCCCAUAAGGCCCACUCAUAAGUUCCACCCACCCAUGAGUUUGCUCACAGGGAGUGGAGUGUGUAGGGGAUGUGUUAUGUGUUAUUGUAGAGGAUCUAAU
Non-coding RNA from Pelobates cultripes (western spadefoot toad), 229 nucleotides. Lineage: Eukaryota; Metazoa; Chordata; Amphibia; Anura; Pelobatidae. The record is from the annotation of a GenBank genome assembly.